CUUUUGUGGACACGAAGAGAAUUCCUUUAACUCGAAGCAAUUCGCGUGCGAGCGAGAGAUAGAGAGAGAGAGAGAGAGAGAGACAUAGAGAGAAUUUUCACAACUUUCUCGUCUAUUCGCUUAAAGCAAAGCUUGAAGGGUUUUGAUUUCUCUACUUUGGAUUUCAUGAAACUCCAAACCCUAAUUAAAAAAUUCCUCUUUUUUUUACAAUUAGGGUUUCAUGAAUCAUUCAAUUACUAAAAACCUUAGAUAACAACAAUUUAUCCUCAAAAUCAUGGAGGGAGGUGGUGGAGGAUCAUCAUCAUCAGCAUCUUUGGUUGAAGCUGCUCCAGAUUCAUGGGAAUUAGAAGAUUUAGAUGAAAGUAUGAGUAGAUUAAUGGUUUCAUCCUAAUAAGAAAUCUACAGCUUCGUCU
RNAcentral lists this long non-coding RNA (413 nucleotides) under Aquilegia coerulea. Its description in RNAcentral is "long non-coding RNA (ACOE_LNC000292)". Lineage: Eukaryota; Viridiplantae; Streptophyta; Magnoliopsida; Ranunculales; Ranunculaceae. The record is from RNAcentral.